RNAcentral lists this long non-coding RNA (388 nucleotides) under Castor canadensis (American beaver). RNAcentral's name for it is "lncRNA (ENSCCNG00000027140.1)". Lineage: Eukaryota; Metazoa; Chordata; Mammalia; Rodentia; Castoridae. The record is from RNAcentral.
AAAGACCAGAUCCGCCGGCUGGACAGGAGGCCACAUGCAUGACUGCGUGCACAGGGUCAGUGGGGCCCCACCUUGCAGUGGGCACCAGAUAUACCUACCGAGCUUUGGCUAAUUCCAGCACCAGCCCGCAGGGGGCCCGGGAGGAGGGGACUGGCCUGGGCCUCCAAGGCGUGGCCAUCUUUGAUGUGCUUGGUCGGUGUCUGAUGGCCUUGAGGUGCCACCUUGGGCCACAGCCCACUUUGCUUCAUCCUGCAUGCUGGACGCAUGGCCCACCCGUGUCCCCACUGUCCUGAGCCUCGCUGGGCACUGAACGUGAAGCAGGCGGUGGUGACCCUCCCGCAGAUCCAUGCGGGGGGGCUCCAGGGCCCUGAGACCCUCGAGGAGGUGA